UCCGCCUAAGGUGCUACAAUAUAGGAAUAUUCACAUAUAAAUCAGACUAGAAAAUAGAAAUUGAAUGUGAAGUUCAAGGUUAAGAGUAUUUCAAUGAAUCACCUUCAGCUCCUCAUGUAGCACAACAAAUAUUUUCUUCAGUUGUUUAUUUCUCUGCAGUCAACAUCAUUAUAUCGAAUGAGAGCAUAUAAGUUCGUAAUAAGAAAUAGAUAAAAAGAAAAUGCUGCGAAUGCAUCAAUAAGAUAAUCUAAUUACAAAAUCCCUAGAACUAUGAUGAACCAAUAAUAUUUAAAGUGGAAAAAUAAAAUGAGGAAAUAAUGAAAGCAUGGAGUGAAGCAUAAACAAGUGAACACAGGGGAAGUUUGCACAAAAACCUGAAAGUCCCUAUUCCAUAACCCAUCUUUUUUUUUUUUAAUGUAAACAAACAUAUGUAAGAGAAUCAUAAUGGAGAUAGCAAUUGAAGUUCCAUGCUACGAAUGCAAUACUAUAAUCCUAACUCUGGAAUUCAACCUCGGCUUCAGAAAUAUCACAUUUACUUGCUAGGUAGAAAUUGAAGAAACCUCUUCUGCAAUUUCGGUUGUAACCACCUAUAUGACCAUCCCUUCAAUUUAUUCAUAAAUCAAUCUACCUUACCCUCCACAGAGCCUGCAACUGACACACUUGCCCAAAGUAAUUGUAGGCAGGGCCUUCACAUAUCAUACAUUCAAAAUAAUUUGGACUCAUACUUCCUGAAUUUAUCCCAACGAGAAACAAAAUCACAACAAAUAAAGAAAAGAACAAAAAAAAUCGAUUAACAAUCAUAUGAACAAAACACAGAAACAAAAAAUCAAUUAACAAUCAUAUGAACAAAACACAGAAAAGCAAAAUCAAUUAACAAUCAUAGGAACAAAAUAGACGCAGCAAAAUUUACCCAAAUAGACACAGCAGCAUCAUCACCAGUCGAUCAGAGCAGAGACGCACCACCACCGCCACACGGAGUUGAGACCCCAGCGGCAGCUUUCUCUCUCAAUGCAGCAGCCACCGUCGGUCCUCAAUUAUAGUAGCAACAGAGCAGAGAUGCAGAAACAACAACACAUAGAGCCAAGAUGCAGCAACAACUUUCUCUCUCAAUAUAGCAGCAGUAGCAACUUUCUCUUCAACGCAGCAACCCACUUUGCUUGAAGAAUUGUGAUGGAGAGAGAGUUGUGACCGUCAAUUUUGGAUGAAGAACAAGAGUAUUCACGAAGAGAGAGAGAGAGUUGUGGUGAUCAAUUGUGGAUGAAGAAGAAGAGCACUCACGGGAGAAAAGAGAGGGUUGUGAAUUUAGAUCUGGAUUAUCUUUUUUGUAUUCG
This 1331-nucleotide long non-coding RNA is filed under the name Citrus x clementina. Its description in RNAcentral is "Citrus clementina (C. clementina) long non-coding RNA (CCLE_LNC000577)". The record is from RNAcentral. Lineage: Eukaryota; Viridiplantae; Streptophyta; Magnoliopsida; Sapindales; Rutaceae.